This 442-nucleotide ribosomal RNA is filed under the name uncultured bacterium. RNAcentral's name for it is "partial 16S ribosomal RNA". It matches the Rfam family "Bacterial small subunit ribosomal RNA", at positions 338 to 795 of the family's 1533-position model. The record is from RNAcentral.
CCUACGGGAGGCAGCAGUGGGGAAUAUUGGGCAAUGGGCGCAAGCCUGACCCAGCAAAGCCGCGUGAAGGAAGAAGGCUCUCGGGUUGUAAACUUCCUUUUAGAGGGAAGAGUAGAAGACGGUACCUCUUGAAUAAGCCAUGGCUAACUACGGGCCAGCAGCCGCGGUAAUACGGAGGUGGCAAGUGUUGUCCGGAUUUACUGGGUGUAAAGGGCGUGUAGCCGGGCCGGGAAGUCAGAUGUGAAAUCACAAGGGUCAACCUUAAAACUGCAUUUGAAACUGUUGGUCUUGAGUAUCGGAGAGGCAGGCGGAAUUCCUAGUGUAGCGGUGAAAUGCGUAGAUAUAACGAAGAACACCAAUGGCGAAGGCGGCCUGCUGGACGGCAACUGACGGUGAGGCGCGAAAGCGUGGGGAGCAAACAGGAUUAGAUACCCCAGUAGUC